UGGGGAAUAUUGGGCAAUGGGCGAAAGCCUGACCCAGCAACGCCGCGUGAAGGAAGAAGGUUUUCGGAUUGUAAACUUCUGUCCUAAGUGACGAAGGAAGUGACGGUAGCUUAGGAGGAAGCCCCGGCUAACUCGUGCCAGCAGCCGCGGUAAUACGUAGGGGCGAGCGUUGUCCGGAAUGACUGGGCGUAAAGGGCGUGUAGGCGGCCGAUUAAGUAUGGAGUGAAAUUCCAGCUUUCAAGGUUGGACUUGCUUGUAGACUGGUUGGCUUGAGUGCGGAAGAGGUAAGUGGAAUUCCCAGUGUAGCGGUGAAAUGCGUAGAGAUUGGGAGGAACACCAGUGGCGAAGGCGACUUACUGGGCCGUAACUGACGCUGAGGCGCGAAAGCGUGGGGAGCGAACAGGAUUAGAUACCC
RNAcentral lists this ribosomal RNA (415 nucleotides) under uncultured bacterium. Its description in RNAcentral is "bacterial SSU rRNA". It matches the Rfam family "Bacterial small subunit ribosomal RNA", at positions 355 to 787 of the family's 1533-position model. The record is from RNAcentral.